This 522-nucleotide ribosomal RNA is filed under the name uncultured bacterium. RNAcentral's name for it is "partial 16S ribosomal RNA". It matches the Rfam family "Bacterial small subunit ribosomal RNA", at positions 28 to 523 of the family's 1533-position model. The record is from RNAcentral.
GACGAACGCUGGCGGCGUGCCUAAUACAUGCAAGUCGAACGCUUUUUCUUUCACCGGAGCUUGCUCCACCGAAAGAAAAAGGGUGGCGAACGGGUGAGUAACACGUGGGUAACCUGCCCAUCAGAAGGGGAUACCACUUGGAAACAGGUGCUAUACCGUAUAACACUAUUUUCCGCAUGGAAGAAAGUUGAAAGGCGCUUUUGCGUCACUGAUGGAUGGACCCGCGGUGCAUUAGCUAGUUGGUGAGGUAACGGCUCACCAAGGCAACGAUGCAUAGCCGACCUGAGAGGGUGAUCGGCCACACUGGGACUGAGACACGGCCCAGACUCCUACGGGAGGUAGCAGUAGGGAAUCUUCGGCAAUGGACGAAAGUCUGACCGAGCAACGCCGCGUGAGUGAAGAGGGUUUUCGGAUCGUAAAACUCUGUUGUUAGAGAAGAACAAGGAUGAGAGUAAAACGUUCAUCCCUUGACGGUAUCUAACCAGAAAGUCACGGCUAACUACGUGCCAGCCGCCGCAGUAA